AGCGACAAACUACACAAAAUCUUAUGGAACAUACUCAUUUUAGUGGUUUCUUUCAAUUAAGACCCAAAAAACAUUUGAAGGUAAAACUUAAAAAAAUAUUGAUUUCUAUAACUCAAAAAUUUUUCAGCUCUUCUUUUUUAUGCAAUACAAAGAAAUAUAGGUCAUUGUACCACAUUUUUAUUACAAAUAAUGUAAGAUAUCCCCACUGCAACGGG
This 215-nucleotide unclassified non-coding RNA is filed under the name Hevea brasiliensis (rubber tree). The record is from RNAcentral. Lineage: Eukaryota; Viridiplantae; Streptophyta; Magnoliopsida; Malpighiales; Euphorbiaceae.